UACGUAGGCGGCGAGCGUUGUCCGGAUUUACUUGGCGUAAAGGGAGCGUAGGCGGACUUUUAAGUGAGAUGUGAAAUACCCGGGCUCAACUUGGGUGCUGCAUUUCAAACUGGAAGUCUAGAGUGCAGGAGAGGAGAAUGGAAUUCCUAGUGUAGCGGUGAAAUGCGUAGAGAUUAGGAAGAACACCAGUGGCGAAGGCGAUUCUCUGGACUGUAACUGACGCUGAGGCGCGAAAGCGUGGGGAGCAAACAGGAUUAGAUACCCCCGUACGU
RNAcentral lists this ribosomal RNA (272 nucleotides) under uncultured prokaryote. RNAcentral's name for it is "partial 16S ribosomal RNA". It matches the Rfam family "Bacterial small subunit ribosomal RNA", at positions 524 to 794 of the family's 1533-position model. The record is from RNAcentral.